ACCCGGAACUCCAGCUGGCCCGCAAGCGCCGCGCGCAGCCCGGGUUCCCGCUCGCGCCUCUCCCUCCACACCUCCCUGCGAGCUGAGGGAGCCGGUUCUGGCCUUGGCCAGCCCAGAAAGGGGCUCCCACAGUGCAGCGGUGGGCUGAAGGGCUCCUCAAGUGCCGCCAAAGUGGGAGCCCAGGCAGAGGAGGCGCUGAGAGCGAGCGGGGGGCUGUGAGGACUGCCAGCAUGCUGUUACCUCUCAAUAAGUGGUCCCAAAGAUGACCAAUUGUUGAGAGCCUAGAGGAAAGGGAAGAACCCACAUCUACCAUGAAUGAAGAAAUGGCGACCUGGAAGCAUACUUCUGGUAGCAAUGGGGACAUGGGUCAAAGGGGACUUGAGAUGGAGAAAUCAAGGUGCAAAGAGGUUAAGAAACUUGUCCAAGGGCCUAGCAUGAUGUCUUCCAUAUGCAGGUGUUCAAUAAGUGCUGAUUUUAUUCCAGGAGCAGAGGCAAUUAAGCUAGGGUUGCAAUAGUUAGGGAGCCAGGAGAUCCACAUGGUCAAAGUAGCAGCUGCUUUCACGAAGCGGCAGUAAUGCGUGCCGCUCGAAUUUGGAUGCAAGGUCCUGGUAACUGAGGAAUGGGCUGUUGCCGGAAGAUAGAGCAGAGAGCAGCCAGUUAUCUUGCGGAGGGGUGAGGAAGGAAAGAGAACUUGAGCUGGGAAGCCAGCAACAGUGGAAAGCUCCCCAAGUGAAGCUUGAGCUCCUCUCUCAGCAAUCCUCCUGGCCUUGAGGAGACAGUAAAUCUCACUCCAUCCUGUGGUUAUACCACUGAAGCAUCUUUAAAAACACUUAGUCCCAAACAAUGGGCCCUUUCCUGCUGCUUUUCUUACCUGAGCCAGCAACCUCAGAGCUUUCUGGGAUUUCUGUUAAAAACACCGAGAUCCCAGGACUCCUUCUCUAUCAACACAACUGUCGCUCACGCCAAGCAUGGGACAUAUGGCCGAGCAUCUGGGAGGGAGAAGAUGGGCCAGGAGUGCUGGCAAGCGGCACAUGCUUUCAUUAUAAUGGAUGUGUCACAGUAAAUCAUUUUGUAAAGGUCCCCUCCCCCUGUGCUGCAUAGCAAAACAUAAAGGAAGACGAAUUACCCACAGCACCACAAUGCUGGUUGAAUAUGCCAAAACUUGUGCCUGAGACACUUAGUGACAUUUCCUUAAAUAUCUUUUUAAUAUCUUGGCCAGGUUGGGCAUACCAAUGGCAUUACAGAGCUUGCAAAUCAA
This is a long non-coding RNA of Gorilla gorilla gorilla (western lowland gorilla), 1258 nucleotides long. RefSeq lists it as uncharacterized. The record is from RefSeq and is a predicted model, not a curated record. The transcript has 5 exons. Lineage: Eukaryota; Metazoa; Chordata; Mammalia; Primates; Hominidae.